RNAcentral lists this long non-coding RNA (443 nucleotides) under Hordeum vulgare. RNAcentral's name for it is "long non-coding RNA (HVUL_LNC006494)". Lineage: Eukaryota; Viridiplantae; Streptophyta; Magnoliopsida; Poales; Poaceae. The record is from RNAcentral.
CGGCCGCUGGCCGGCAGCAACCUGCAAGUGCUUUGUUUCAGGUGUAGUAGGGGAAGGAAUUAGGUAGGAACAAAAAAGAUCUAGCUGUGUGUAUUGCCUCUCCAUGCCGGACGAGGCAUGCUUAGCUUUCACGAUACAGUGAUCAAGCUUUUAAUAAAUCCUUGCGUAUAUAGAUUUCAGUAUUAUUUCAGCACAUGCUUCAUCUUUCAGAAGUCUGUUCUGACUUUGAGAUGUCUAUCAACCUGUCCAGCAUAAAGUCAUUCCGCCUAUUAAUCAAUUCAAAGAAUUAGAAUGGUCAUACUUAUGAUUGACAUCUAAUGGACAUUGUUCCUGUACUAUGCUUAUACUCCUAUGCAUAGCAUGGACAAUCCUGCAUAUGCAGUAAUGUGCUAUUUAUAAAAUCUUGCUUUAUGUAAAAUUCAAAUAUCUGUGCAAUUUUCUAU